GACAUAGGUGGCGAACGUUAUCCGGAAUUACUGGGUGUAAAGGGUUCGUAGGCGGUGCGGCAAGUCGGGAGUGAAAUCUCUGGGCUUAACCCAGAGGCUGCUUCCGAAACUGCUGUGCUUGAGUGUGGGAGAGGCGCGUGGAAUUGCAGGUGUAGCGGUGAAAUGCGUAGAUAUCUGCAGGAACACCCGUGGCGAAAGCGGCGCGCUGGACCACUACUGACGCUGAGGAACGAAAGCUAGGGGAGCAAACAGG
This 253-nucleotide ribosomal RNA is filed under the name uncultured bacterium. RNAcentral describes it as "partial 16S ribosomal RNA". It matches the Rfam family "Bacterial small subunit ribosomal RNA", at positions 524 to 776 of the family's 1533-position model. The record is from RNAcentral.